CUGGUGGGUAGUUUGACUGGGGCGGUCUCCUCCUAAAGAGUAACGGAGGAGCACGAAGGUUGGCUAAUCCUGGUCGGACAUCAGGAGGUUAGUGCAAUGGCAUAAGCCAGCUUGACUGCGAGCGUGACGGCGCGAGCAGGUGCGAAAGCAGGUCAUAGUGAUCCGGUGGUUCUGAAUGGAAGGGCCAUCGCUCAACGGAUAAAAGGUACUCCGGGGAUAACAGGCUGAUACCGCCCAAGAGUUCAUAUCGACGGCGGUGUUUGGCACCUCGAUGUCGGCUCAUCACAUCCUGGGGCUGAAGUAGGUCCCAAGGGUAUGGCUGUUCGCCAUUUAAAGUGGUACGCGAGCUGGGUUUAGAACGUCGUGAGACAGUUCGGUCCCUAUCUGCCGUGGGCGCUGGAGAACUGAGGGGGGCUGCUCCUAGUACGAGAGGACCGGAGUGGACGCAUCACUGGUGUUCGGGUUGUCAUGCCAAUGGCACUGCCCGGUAGCUAAAUGCGGAAGAGAUAAGUGCUGAAAGCAUCUAAGCACGAAACUUGCCCCGAGAUGAGUUCUCCCUGAGACUUAGAGUCUCCUGAAGGAACGUUGAAGACGACGACGUUGAUAGGCCGGGUGUGUAAGCGCAGCGAUGCGUUGAGCUAACCGGUACUAAUGAACCGUGAGGCUUAACCUUACA
Molecule: ribosomal RNA, 676 nt
Filed under: Salmonella enterica
Lineage: Bacteria; Pseudomonadati; Pseudomonadota; Gammaproteobacteria; Enterobacterales; Enterobacteriaceae
Also listed under: 1 other name
Description: partial 23S ribosomal RNA
Rfam family: Bacterial large subunit ribosomal RNA
Source: RNAcentral